GCGUCACUGAUGAGUCGUAUGAAGACGAAACGCGCGUCUGGCAU
RNAcentral lists this non-coding RNA (44 nucleotides) under Mytilus galloprovincialis (Mediterranean mussel). Lineage: Eukaryota; Metazoa; Mollusca; Bivalvia; Mytilida; Mytilidae. The record is from RNAcentral.